Molecule: long non-coding RNA, 2011 nt
Filed under: Podarcis lilfordi (Lilford's wall lizard)
Lineage: Eukaryota; Metazoa; Chordata; Lepidosauria; Squamata; Lacertidae
Source: RNAcentral
GUUCUCCCCAAGGUGAGGGGAAGUGGACAUAGCCUGGCAGGACUGCUUAAGAUAUGGUCAAAAACUCACCACACCUUAGACUUCUGGCACUGGCAGUUUUUACUGCGUCCUCAUUUGGCUGCCCUCAAAAUUUCAGGGCCGUCAAGGGUAGGCAUUUCUGGUGAGCCCCACUUUCCUGCAAGGGGCCUACUCUCAAACCUUUGAGGCCUACUGCUGCUCUUCCUUGCUGUCAUGGCCGACUCACUUGCCUUCUCUGAGCCUUAGAGACUAAGCUGCUUCCUUCGCACCUCUUGCACUUGUUUCUGGACACCUUGGGCCUACAGGGAGAGGGCAGGAAAAUGGGCAGUGGGAACACUUGUUUGUAGUUUUUAGCUACUUCAGAAGUUCAUUUCUCUAGGAAGAUGUAAGAGUUAUAGCAUACCCAUUCAGGGAUUCUCAACUACUGCCUCCCAAAAUACUGGAGCCGAACAACAUCUCACCCUCUUGUGGCACCAAGUUCAGAGUUCAGCGAGUCUCUGACACCAUGGCUCAGGACCACAAUACCUCAAGGGCCACCUCUCUCCAUAUGAAGCUACCUGGACCCUGAAAUCAGGUAGGAUCUGAUACAAAUGUGGUGCUCAAAUCCAAAUUGUCUUUCCUGUUGUUGUUUUUUAAAAAUAACCCAUCCUCCCUAAACCUUCAUUUAUUUUCCACUUCCUCAUCUUCAGGCCCAUCACAGCAAUUAACUCUCCCUGUAGCCUUAUGAGGCUUUGCCCUCGGAUGGGAAAAAUAUUGCGCCCGGGAAAGGGAAGUGGGAGUCAACAGACACUCAAGGAAUAGUUUCGGAGAAAAGGCUUUUAUUUCUACCAUCCAUGAACUGGUAGAAGGAGCAAGUGUGAUAGUUCACAAAAGCAUGCCCGAAGUUCACAGUCAUGUGCACAAGCAUAUAUACCCCUUUCCAGUUCCCUCCCCCUUUCUCCUCCCUCAGGAGUCCUGCCCAUGAGUUCCUCUGAGCAUGAACAGAAAGCUGUCUUGGGACUAUUGGACUCUUGGCGCCCUUCCCAGGAAAGGGGGGGGGGUGAGAGUGGUUCAGCAUGUCCAAGAUGUUGCAACCGAAAGAGAUAAGAUUCGUUUCUCAGGCCUGAGUAUUCUUGGCAAUGACAGAGCCUAUUCAUUAGUCUUUAAAAGUAACACUUUGCCUUUUGCCACAGCAUCUUGUGAGAAAAGCAGAGAAGAGCAGAGAAAAGCUGUUUUGGAUUUUUAGAAGACAAAAGGAGUUUUGGACAGUUUUGAGGCCUAGUUGAUUAUUGAAGCCUGGGGUGAUUUCACAGAUAGGAUUUGGGUAUUCUGUCCCUUCAUCCCCUCUGGCUAAACUCAAAGGAAUGUGAUUCUUUCUUAACAUGUUUUGAAGUAAAUCAACAUUGGUCCCAGAAACAGGGGGCAGCUACACAGAAUGACAAAACACACUUCUUUCUACCCAGGGGGGUGGGGAAGAACAGUAUUUGCUGCCAUCGGAAGAGCCCCAUAUAGUGAUUGAUUGAUGAUUUAUGAAUUUCUAUACUGCUUAAUAUUUUUAAAACAUCUCUAAGUGGUAUACAAAAAACGGAAGCGACAAUGGACAACUUAAAUGAAAUAUUACAAAGAUACACAGCUACAUAUAAAAAUGUUAUAUUAAUGCAAAGUUACUAAUAUAUGCAAAUCAAUAUUAAUUCAUUUUCCUUCUGGUACUCCCUCCCUCUCAGCCUCCGGCUUCUCACCCAGGGUCUAAACAAACUCUCAGCUCACCCACAAAUGUCUCACAAGAGGAGUUCCUGGAAGACAGUAGGCAUCACCCUAAUAUCUCACUGUAUAGACUUGCUUUUUAGGGGCAGGCCCAAGGUGAAUGGUACUUCCUCGGGUUGCACACAGCUGUGCCCCAUUCAGCUGUACUCUCCACACCCUGACCCAGGUUUGUUGAGUUCUCCAGGGGGUCCAAAGGAUGGGGAAAGGGCCACCCUCCACUCACAGCUCUUUCUUCACCCUCUGUCCUCUC